Molecule: ribosomal RNA, 319 nt
Filed under: uncultured eukaryote
Lineage: Eukaryota
Description: partial 18S ribosomal RNA
Rfam family: Eukaryotic small subunit ribosomal RNA
Source: RNAcentral
CCCUUAGAUGUUCUGGGCAGCACGCGCGCUACAAUGGUCUUCGCAAACGGAUGCAUUCUCGAAGGAGAAUGCCAAUCUUGGAAUCUAUGCCUUGGUCGGGACAGUUGCUUGCAAUUUUUCGACUCGAACCAGGAAUUCCUUGUAAUCGUGAUUCAUCACAUCACGAUGAAUACGUCCCUGCCCUUUGUACACACCGCCCGUCGCUCCUACCGAUCGAAGAGUUAGGUGAAUUGUUUUGAUCGAUAAGAUUUGACUAUGGUCAACUCUCGUUGUGAAAUUCUGUGAAUCUGACUGUUUAGAGGAAGCAAAAGUCGUAACA